UACGUAGGGUGCAAGCGUUGUCCGGAAUUAUUGGGCGUAAAGAGCUCGUAGGCGGUCUGUCGCGUCGGCUGUGAAAUCCCGAGGCUCAACCUCGGGUCUGCAGUCGAUACGGGCAAACUAGAGUAUUGUAGGGGAGACUGGAAUUCCUGGUGUAGCGGUGAAAUGCGCAGAUAUCAGGAGGAACACCGGUGGCGAAGGCGGGUCUCUGGGCAAUAACUGACGCUGAGGAGCGAAAGCGUGGGGAGCGAACAGG
RNAcentral lists this ribosomal RNA (253 nucleotides) under uncultured bacterium. RNAcentral's name for it is "partial 16S ribosomal RNA". It matches the Rfam family "Bacterial small subunit ribosomal RNA", at positions 524 to 776 of the family's 1533-position model. The record is from RNAcentral.